Molecule: ribosomal RNA, 452 nt
Filed under: uncultured bacterium
Lineage: Bacteria
Description: bacterial SSU rRNA
Rfam family: Bacterial small subunit ribosomal RNA
Source: RNAcentral
UACGGGAGGCAGCAGUGGGGAAUAUUGCACAAUGGGCGCAAGCCUGAUGCAGCCAUGCCGCGUGUAUGAAGAAGGCCUUCGGGUUGUAAAGUACUUUCAGCGGGGAGGAAGGCGAUGCGGUUAAUAACCGCGUCGAUUGACGUUACCCGCAGAAGAAGCACCGGCUAACUCCGUGCCAGCAGCCGCGGUAAUACGGAGGGUGCAAGCGUUAAUCGGAAUUACUGGGCGUAAAGCGCACGCAGGCGGUCUGUUAAGUCAGAUGUGAAAUCCCCGGGCUUAACCUGGGAACUGCAUUUUGAACUGGCAGGCUUGAGUCUUGUAGAGGGGGUAGAAUUCCAGGUGUAGCGGUGAAAUGCGUAGAGAUCUGGAGGAAUACCGGUGGCGAAGGCGGCCCCUGGACAAGACUGACGCUCAGGUGCGAAAGCGUGGGGAGCAAACGAGGAUUAGAUACC